This is a long non-coding RNA of Hypomesus transpacificus, 723 nucleotides long. RefSeq lists it as uncharacterized. The transcript has 2 exons. The record is from RefSeq and is a predicted model, not a curated record. Lineage: Eukaryota; Metazoa; Chordata; Actinopteri; Osmeriformes; Osmeridae.
AACACAACAUGUAUAUUCUUAAUUUACAUCAUUAGCCGUCUUAAUUUAACUGUUGCAUGACCAUACAAUCUGCGGUCUAAACAACUGCCUGCCUUGAAUGAGUAGUAUUAGUAUGUGUAAAAUAGUCCUAACCAUUUUAUGCACCAAUUUAAUAAGGAAUAGCUCAGCUCCAGCAGAAAUGGGAUAUCACACAGCUACAGGACAUGCGCAACUGUUUUGAAAUCUCUGGGGCGUCCAGACAAGCCUGAACCAGUGGCCCUCUCUGCCUUGCAUUCUGAGUAGGAAUGUGGAGCCCUGCCCUGUCUGGUGAAGGAGCCUCUCCACCCAUGCACACUUCUGCCACGCAACUCUCUCCCCUCUGCUGCUACAGUCUUCAUUACUGCACACUCCUUGCACUCUCUUGUCACUUCAUUCACUGUGAAGUGUUCUGAGAUUCACUUUAGGCGAGGGCAGGGUUGGCCUCUGCACGGCGAACAACGCAGCACACCACACAAGGCGUCGGAAUCUGACAAGGGGUCUGCAUGUGGAGGAAGGAGGGGCCUCGCUGACACAACUGUGCUACCUCAUCUGCACGAAGAAGCUAUGCUCAGAGAAGCAGAGAAGCUGGGAUGGGCAGCUUACAGGAGCGUGGUCAGGAGACCAGGCCAGGAAGAUCCACUCGUAGCCCUGGUUGUUGGUGGAGUCAAGGCGGUAUAAGAUGUAACAUGGCAUAUCAUCCUCCAG